RNA transcript from Mus musculus (house mouse), 5147 nucleotides. It is a transcript of the gene named fragile X messenger ribonucleoprotein 1, with no coding region annotated. The transcript has 17 exons. Lineage: Eukaryota; Metazoa; Chordata; Mammalia; Rodentia; Muridae. The record is from RefSeq and is marked validated.
AUCGUUUGACUGUUUACAGGAGGCGCAGCGGAGCCCUUGGCCUCAGUCAGUCAGGCGCUGGGGAGCGUUUCGGUUUCACUUCCGGUGAGGGGCCGCGCCUGAGAGGGCGGGCAGUGAAGCAAACGGACGGCGAGCGCGGGCGGUGGCAGUGACGGCGGCGCCGCUGCCGGGGGGCGUGCGGUAACGCGGCGGCGGCGGCGGCGGCGACGGCGGCUGGGCCUCAAGCGCCUGCAGCCCACCUCCCGGAGGCGGGCUCCCGGCGCGAGGACGGACGAGAAGAUGGAGGAGCUGGUGGUGGAAGUGCGGGGCUCCAAUGGCGCUUUCUACAAGGCAUUUGUAAAAGAUGUCCAUGAAGAUUCUAUAACAGUUGCUUUUGAAAACAACUGGCAACCAGAGAGACAGAUUCCAUUCCAUGAUGUGAGAUUCCCACCACCUGUAGGUUAUAAUAAAGAUAUAAACGAAAGUGAUGAAGUUGAGGUUUAUUCCAGAGCAAAUGAAAAAGAGCCUUGCUGUUGGUGGUUAGCUAAAGUGAGGAUGAUAAAGGGUGAGUUUUAUGUGAUAGAAUAUGCAGCAUGUGAUGCUACGUAUAAUGAAAUUGUCACAAUUGAGCGUCUACGAUCUGUUAAUCCCAACAAACCUGCUACAAAAGAUACUUUCCAUAAGAUCAAGCUGGAGGUGCCAGAAGAUUUACGACAAAUGUGUGCCAAAGAAUCAGCACAUAAGGAUUUUAAAAAGGCAGUUGGUGCCUUCUCUGUAACUUAUGAUCCAGAAAAUUAUCAGCUGGUAAUUUUGUCCAUCAAUGAAGUCACCUCAAAGCGAGCCCACAUGUUGAUUGACAUGCACUUUCGAAGUCUGCGCACCAAGUUGUCUCUUAUACUGAGAAAUGAAGAAGCCAGUAAACAACUGGAGAGUUCAAGGCAGCUUGCCUCAAGAUUUCAUGAACAGUUUAUCGUACGAGAAGAUCUGAUGGGUUUAGCUAUUGGUACUCAUGGUGCUAAUAUUCAGCAAGCUAGAAAAGUGCCUGGCGUCACUGCUAUUGAUUUAGAUGAGGAUACCUGCACAUUUCAUAUUUAUGGAGAGGAUCAAGAUGCAGUGAAAAAGGCUAGAAGCUUUCUGGAAUUUGCUGAAGAUGUCAUACAGGUUCCACGAAACUUAGUAGGCAAAGUAAUAGGAAAAAAUGGAAAGCUGAUUCAAGAGAUCGUGGACAAGUCAGGAGUUGUGAGGGUGAGGAUUGAGGCUGAAAAUGAGAAAAGUGUCCCACAAGAAGAGGAAAUUAUGCCACCAAGUUCCCUACCUUCCAAUAAUUCAAGGGUUGGACCUAACUCCUCUGAAGAAAAGAAACAUUUAGAUACAAAGGAAAACACCCAUUUUUCUCAACCUAACAGUACAAAAGUCCAGAGGGUGUUAGUGGUUUCAUCAAUUGUAGCAGGGGGACCCCAGAAACCUGAACCCAAGGCUUGGCAGGGUAUGGUACCAUUUGUUUUUGUGGGAACAAAAGACAGCAUCGCUAAUGCCACUGUUCUUUUGGAUUAUCACCUGAACUAUUUAAAGGAAGUAGACCAGUUGCGUUUGGAGAGAUUACAAAUUGAUGAGCAGUUGCGACAAAUUGGAGCUAGUUCUAGACCACCACCAAAUCGUACAGAUAAGGAAAAAGGCUAUGUGACUGAUGAUGGUCAAGGAAUGGGUCGAGGUAGUAGACCUUACAGAAAUAGGGGGCACGGCAGACGCGGUCCUGGAUAUACUUCAGCUCCAACAGAGGAAGAGAGAGAGGUAGUAGAGGUGAUAUUCCAGAGUGGGGAAAGACACCUACUCAUAAGGCCAAUCUUGAACCUAACCCUUAACCCUCCUCCUAUCAGUUUGUUCUUUUGACCAAUGAAUUUCCAUCUCACUGUGGAGCUCUUCCCCCCACUCCCAUUCCCUAUAUCAUUAACCCCCUCAGAUGUAAACAGUUGUUUUAUAGUGAUCUUUUGUUUAGCCCUUCCCACUGGGAGUGGGAGGGAGAUUGUGGGGCAUGCAUCAGGAAUGCAUAUCCCCUUUCAUUGGGGAUAAUCCCACAGUAGCCCCUCCCCUGAGACACAACAAUCAUGGUGGCCUUUAUUGGCUGCUUUUAGAGUUGGCCAAAUUGUACAUCCUUCUGUCCCUGUGUCUACUAAAAGCUCUCAUUAUAGAAGUUUUGCUUAUCAAAGUAUUACAUUGUUAUAGACAAUUUUUCCUCUAUUGAUCACAGCUAUUUAAAAAUAUGGCACAUUCAGAUCUGAACUUAGACAGCUAACAAAACACCUUUUUAAAAGAUGUCUAACAAAAAUUACUUCAAAUAUGGCAAGCCUUUUACUUUGAAUUUAAAACACAGAUAAGUAUAUUCUUUGGUAGGCUUCUAAAUUGGGAAGAAUAUUGAAUCACCCCUGAAACUUCAUCUCUGGAAGCUUCUGUUAACCUUUUUUUUAAAGUCAGACAAUGGUAUAUAACUUUUAACUCUCGAUAGGAACUAAUUCUGAAGCAUCAAAUGCUUCUGAAACAGAAUCUGACCACAGAGACGAACUCAGUGAUUGGUCAUUAGCUCCAACAGAGGAAGAGAGGGAGAGCUUCCUGCGCAGAGGAGACGGACGGCGGCGUGGAGGAGGAGGAAGAGGACAAGGAGGAAGAGGAAGAGGAGGAGGCUUCAAAGGAAACGACGAUCAUUCCCGAACAGAUAAUCGUCCACGUAAUCCAAGAGAGGCUAAAGGAAGAACAGCUGAUGGAUCCCUGCAGAGUGCCUCCAGUGAAGGGAGCCGGCUGCGCACGGGUAAAGAUCGUAACCAGAAGAAGGAAAAGCCAGACAGCGUAGAUGGGCUGCAACCGCUGGUGAAUGGAGUACCCUAAAUAAGCUACAUAAUUCCGAAGUUAUAUUUCCUCUACCAUUUCCGUAAUUCUUACUCCAUUUUAGAAAACUUUGUUAGGCCAAAGACAAAUAGUAGGCAAGAUGGCACAGGGCAUGAAGUGAACACAAAUUCUGCAAAGAAUUUUUUUGAUAUUGGCAAUAAUCAACAAUCUUCCAGAUUUGCACAAAAAGAUCUUGAAAUUUGAUGCAUAACUUUUAAGUACACUUAACACUUCAGGGCAGGAUUUUACUUUUAUUUUUUAAAAAUACUAAGCAGUGAUCUUUAUUAACUAGGACCAUUUUCCUGAAUUGGACUAUAUAACUCAGCAGUAUGUUUCAGUCUUUCGGAGUAAAUCACAUUUGUGAUAAUCAUACUAGAUCUCUGUCUUCAGUCUCAUUUAAAGUCUUCAUGAAAUGCUGUGCCAUUUCAUGUCCUGUGUCAGUUUAUGUUUUGGUCCACUUUUCCAGUAUUUUAGUGGACCCUGAAAUGUGUGUGAUGUGACAUUUGUUAUUUUCAUUAGCAAAAAAAAGAGUUGUAUGAUCUGUGCCUUUUUUAUAUCUUGGCAGGUAGGAAUAUUAUAUUUGGAUGCAGAGUUCAGGGAAGAUAAGUUGGAAACACUAAAUGUUAAAGAUGUAGCAAACCCUGUCAAACAUUAGUACUUUUUAGAAGAAUGCAUGCUUUCCAUAUUUUUUUCCUUACAUAAACAUCAGCUUAGGCAGUAUAAAAAAUAGGACUUGUUUUUUGUUUUUGUUUUGUUGCACUGAAGUAUGACAAAUAGUGUUAUUGGAAGGGAUGUGUAAUUUUUCUGUAUAGACAGGAGAAGAAAUAACUAUCUUUUCAUUUGGGAGAGGCUAAAGAUGUUUUCAGCUACUUGCAAAUCUUCCUGGUCGAAAGUUAGUAGGAUAUGCCUGCUCUUUGGCCUGAUGACGAAUUUCAACUUUGAAACAUUUUCUUUUGUCCUCCCCAAAUUUUGUCAAGUUUUUUCAUUCAUAUUUUACAUUAAAGCUUAUUUUGGGGAGAUAUGAAGGUCAUCUUCAUAAAUACAUAACAACCCUCAAAAGUAUAUAGGUACUUUGUCUGAGAAACAUUGAAAGCAGGUUAAAUGUUUUGUAACUUUGAAAUACAAAGUCUAAUGCAUAAGCAGAACCGAAAAGCAGACCGACAAUUGGUUAACAAAUAAUUCUUUUUUUUUCUUUUUUGAUGUGUUGAGUCUUAUUUUUGUGGGGUUUUUUUCUCUCUUUUUUUUUAAAUGACUGAAAUUCACUGAAGAAAAAUAUGUGAAGGACCUUCACUCUGAGAUGUUAUAUUUUUUUUUAAAAAUAACUCUGAGUAGGGGUACCACUGAAUCUGUACAGAGCCGUACAAACCGAAGUUCUGCCUCUGAUGUACUUUGUGAAUUUGUUUCUUUGAAUUUUCAUUUUUCAUUUAGUUUUCCUUGCAUACAAAUAAGCAUAUAAAAUGGCAACAAACUGCACAUGAUUUCACAAAUAUUAAAAUGUCUUUUAAAAAGUAUUGCCAAACAGUAAUGUUGAUUUCUAGUUAUUUAUUCUGGGAAUGUAUAGUAUUUGAAAACAGAAAUUGGUACCUUGCACACAUCAUCUGUAAACUGUUCAGUUUAAAAUACUGUAGAUAAUUAACCAAGGUAGAAUGACCUUGUAAUGUAACUGCUCUUGGGCAAUAUUCUCUGUACAUAUUAGCGACAACAGAUUGGAUUUUAUGUUGACAUUUGUUUGGUUAUAGUGCAAUAUAUUUUGUAUGCAAACAGUUUCAAUAAAGUUUGAUCUUCCUCUGCUAAAUUGAUGUUGAUGCAAUCCUUACAAUGAUUGCUUUUAAAAUUUUAAGAUAGGAAAGAAAUCUAUAGAAAGUGUUCUGUUACAAAAUGUAACUGUUACCAUUGGAAAUUUCACAUGUCAAAGGAGGUUAGCCGUUAUUUACCAACUUUCAAGAACGUAAUCUUGUUCAAUAAGGUGAAAUAUCAAUGAUUGGUACACAGUCACAAUGUACCGUUAAAAUAUGCACUAAGUCUCUUUUUUUUACAAAGGCUGAAUUCAGCAAGGCGCUAACUUGCUUAAAUGUGAAUUACUAACUUCUAAAACUGUAAUUUGAUUCACAUCUUUUCAAAUGGAGUUGGAGUUGAUUCAUAUUACAAUAUUUGUGUGCAAAAUGUGUAUGUUUUUCAGUUUAAAGUCAUGUUUUUAAAAUCUUAUUAAAGUUUCAAAAAUCUGAAGAUUGUUUAUCUUAUCUAGAUGUAAAUUUUUAUUAAAAAGUUGCACUUAUGAAAAAGCAAAA